This is an RNA transcript of Eurytemora carolleeae, 2169 nucleotides long. It is a transcript of the gene named dipeptidyl peptidase 9, with no coding region annotated. Lineage: Eukaryota; Metazoa; Arthropoda; Copepoda; Calanoida; Temoridae. The record is from RefSeq and is a predicted model, not a curated record.
GUUCAAUUCUAAAUUUUGUCGACCAGCUGCCAGACGAAGAUGGCCGGCUUAUGAUUAUGCACGGAGCAAUGGACGAAAACGUUCAUUUUAUGCAACACACUGGUCAACUUGUUAAUCUGCUGAUAAAGCAUGGAAAACCUUAUCAUUUACAGAUGUAUCCCGGUGAACGUCACAGUUUGCGGCACCCCGACUCCAAUGAACACUAUCUGACCUCGCUGCUAGCGUUUCUACGAAAGAACUUGUGAUACGCGAGAUCUGAAACGUGAUACUGACAUUCGGGUCACGUGACUUUAAUAAUAUAAAAAAUAAUAUUAUCUUGAAAAAUCAUUUCCCCCCGUUCCCCUUUUGAAAAUAUUUUUUCUCCCAGAGCGCAAACAAUGGUAAGGGAAAAAAUCUAUUUUAAGAAAAAAAGUAACCUUUUGGGUUAAAAUUGUUCAAAAUGAUGAUAAAGCUUGCCUUUUUUUUUGGGGGGGGGGGAAUUCUUAAAAAUAUACACCCCCCUAAAGAAGGGAAUAAAUAUAAACAUAAAGAAGAUUUAUAUUUGUAGGGUGUGAUCUUAACAAGGCUCUUUUUUGUGAACAUAGUUACUGUAGUUACCAACUUAAAACCAAAUUUGUAUGUCUUUUAGUACACCCUUUAGAGUUAUUUAUAUUACUUUAACAGCUAAUGAUUUCUGUUCUUCUGUGUAACCUUUCAACUCUUCUACCUUCAGGAAACUGACCUAAGGGUUUUCUGGCCUAAAACUGUUAGAUGUAGUUGGAGUUGGAUGCAGGUCCGUAGCUAGGAAUUUCUUCAGGGAUUGGGGGCACAAAAGUUAUAAAUAGCAUAGAUAGAUAAGUAAGGGGAGCGCCGCAUGAGAAAAAUUAUUGACCUGAAAAAUUCAAUAAGGGUUACAAUUAAUUAAUGUAAAACUAAAAAACUAGAAUUGAACUUAUCACAUAUAGUUUAAAAAGUUUUUCCUGUUUUCCUUCCCUUAAUUGCUGUUGAAUAAUUGAGAAGCUUUGUAGAGAUUUUACUUAAACUAAAAAUAAAUGUACUACUGAAAAUUUUUAAAUCACGAAUAGCCAAUAUUGUAAAGCAUGAAAAUCUUCAGUUUUCAGAAAAUUUAAAUUAGUACAAACAGCUUCUCCUAAACCUGGCCAUAUUUUGUAUAUAAUUUAAAUUUGAUUCCAUGUCACUCUUUGCUGUACGAUGGUUCAUUAGAAUCAUUAAUCAAAUAAAAGAAGAGAAAAGGAUAAGCUUCUUAAAAUACAAAAAAAAAAAAAAAUUAAACCCUAUCAUUUCACAAGAUAGGAUAGAAAUUAAAAUUCUUAAAUAAUUUAGUUCAGAAAGCACUCAACUUUCCUUAAAUUUGAAGAAAAAAAAUAAUCCUGUUCACAUAAUAUUGGUAACGAUUUUAAGCCAAUUUUCUCCCCUUUUUUCCUUAUUUCUUUUUCAGUUUCCUUCCUUUAAUUUUUUCAUUUUCUUUUUUUUUGUCUCAGAAAAUGUGCCCCUCCCAAAGUAGUAAAAUGGGGCCACGUGCCCAUGUCCCCCCCCCUAGCUACGGCCCUGGUUGGAUGGAGGUUAGACGUAGUUUAUCGGGGAGUCGAUAAAAAUAAAAUAAAAAACGCGCGGUUAGUCGAAAAAAUUAUUCGAUUAUUAGUUCAGAUAUCUUUUAGAUCCGUUUCCUCUAGGUCAGUUUCGAGUCUUUUCUCUGUAAUUAUACGAUCCAUAUAACUUGAACGUAAAGGGACUGUAAACAUAUUUUACAUUUAUAGAGUGGCAAGUUGACCUUUAACUGACCAAUAAUGUAAAAGAUAUCGUCUUUUUUCUCGAUUUAAAUGUGUUCCUCCAAUUUGAUUCUGAAGCAGAAAUGCGUGUCAUAUUUUAGUAAAACAAAGCUUUCUUAAGGUACCAUUUUGAUUUGGACAUGCCACGCUAUAAAUGGAUGGUGAAUUUAAAUCCCGUCUACAGUCUCUUUAAGCAACUUUAUAGAUCUAAAAAAUUUAGGAAUACAAAUGAGAUUAAAAUAUGUAUAUUGUAUGUUUAUGUUAUUUACGAAACUAACGCCAAGUGUUUUACCAUGUAAUUUUGUCAAGUUUCAAAAUUGCCAUAUUGGCAAGUGUUAAGAUGCAAGUAGACAUACCAGCCUUAUGAAAAUGUAUAAAAACAAUAAAAAUACAAAAUAUU